Molecule: ribosomal RNA, 433 nt
Filed under: uncultured bacterium
Lineage: Bacteria
Description: partial 16S ribosomal RNA
Rfam family: Bacterial small subunit ribosomal RNA
Source: RNAcentral
AACGAACGCUGGCGGCAUGCCUAACACAUGCAAGUCGAACGAGACCUUCGGGUCUAGUGGCGCACGGGUGCGUAACGCGUGGGAACCUGCCCUUAGGUUCGGAAUAACUCCCCGAAAGGGGUGCUAAUACCGGAUAAUGUCUUCGGACCAAAGAUUUAUCGCCUUUGGAUGGGCCCGCGUUGGAUUAGCUAGUUGGUAGGGUAAAAGCCUACCAAGGCGACGAUCCAUAGCUGGUCUGAGAGGAUGAUCAGCCACACUGGGACUGAGACACGGCCCAGACUCCUACGGGAGGCAGCAGUGGGGAAUAUUGGAGGAUGGGCGAAAGCCUGAUCCAGCAAUGCCGCGUGAGUGAUGAAGGCCUUAGGGUUGUAAAGCUCUUUUACCCGGGAUGAUAAUGACAGUACCGGGAGAAUAAGCUCCGGCUAACUCCGUG